RNAcentral lists this non-coding RNA (96 nucleotides) under Candidatus Methylacidiphilum fumarolicum. RNAcentral describes it as "Methylacidiphilum fumariolicum Fluoride sequence". It matches the Rfam family "Fluoride riboswitch aptamer (crcB RNA motif)". Lineage: Bacteria; Pseudomonadati; Verrucomicrobiota; Methylacidiphilae; Methylacidiphilales; Methylacidiphilaceae. The record is from RNAcentral. RNAcentral also lists the same sequence under 1 other name.
UAAUAAUCUGGCAAUGGAGUUUGCCAGCCCGCGUUUUCGAAGUGUUUUGGGCAAACCCCUUUUCUUUUAGGAAAAGGCGAUAACUCCUACUUCAAA